Molecule: long non-coding RNA, 477 nt
Filed under: Fukomys damarensis (Damara mole-rat)
Lineage: Eukaryota; Metazoa; Chordata; Mammalia; Rodentia; Bathyergidae
Description: lncRNA (ENSFDAG00000033587.1)
Source: RNAcentral
GACAGGAGCUCAUCCAGCAGUGCCACUAAAAUCCCUUGGCAUACCGUCUGUCAAGCAACCAAAAUGUCCCUGUCACUCUUCUAUUUGGUGAGAGUGAAGGAAUAAGCCAAGGCAGUCAUGUUUCUGAUUCCUUUGUUUCAAUUCCCUGUACUGUUCCAACAGGAACUGUUUGUGGAUUGUGAACUAGUACUGAAGUUUACCAUACUGCUCUGGAACCAUACUGCCUGGAUUAAGUCCCAGCCCUGCCAUUUACCAGCUCUGUGACUUUGGGAAAGUUUCAAGAUCUUUCCUGAUCUCAUUUUCUUCUUCUGGAAAACAUGAACAAUAGCAAUAUCAGCCUAAUCAUGUUGUGAUGAUUAAAUGGAAUAAGACACACUGAGCAUUAAUAAAAUUCCUGGCUUCUUAUAAGUGAUAAUUUCCUAGGUAACUUCGUCUGAGCACCUACCACAUGCUAACAUAUUCCUUUUGUCAGUGUUU